UGAAUUAGGCUCAGAGAAGUGUUAGUUCAUAUGCUAAACUGAGAUUUCCACCAUUCUUUUUAUCGCAGGUGCUUGGUAGCCAGAUCGAACACAGAUGGCGUACUGCUAAUUCAUUAACAUGAAUUUGUGCUAUUCCUUUGGAUUGAUGGAUAUUCUGUCAAAAUAAUUUACUUUUAGAUCUCUGUAUAGUACUGUACUGCCUAGGCUUAUCUGAACGUAUUCUUAUUAUUACUUAACGGUGGGUUAAGAAACCAACCCUUGUAAGCUUCCCUGCUACUACACUGCUCGUUUUCAAACCUUCAGAAUUUGUAAAUCCUCUCGUAGGGAUGUUCCAAUAUUCUCAUAGGAAUUACUAUUUAAUGAUGUUACUUAAGAAUUAACGUGUUGUGUUUCGACUAGCAAUGCUUGUGCUUUCCCAAGUGAGCUGCUUCAUCCAGUAUGAACACAUGACUGUCCUUAGAUAGUUUAUAUGGUUAAUCUACUGUGUUGUUUCAGUGAGUAUUAUGUUUGUGAAUCUGCAAUUGAGACACCAACUCAUUGUAGGUGCACCUGAGAUAAUGAUAUUAAAUCAUCACACUACUAGGGAAAACCUUUCCCUAGUAGUGGCGCUGGUUUAGAGGCCAGCAGUAGUGCGGGCCCCGCAUUACUGCUAUGACGCUACAGCUAACUUUUAGCAGUAGCGCGGGUUUAACCCCUUGCUACUGCUAAGUCAGUUAUCAAUAGCGUGGGUUUUCGCCCGCGCUACUGCUAAAUAGCAGUAGCUUAUACCUUGGUCAUCCUAUUAAUCCAGCUUGGUCACUUUGGAUCCAUCCACUUGAAUUUAAUACACGUUUCUUUCACCCACUGAUAUAAUAACUCAUCAUCAUCAUAAUAACAACUCAUCAUCAUCAUAGUCAUAUAACAACUCCUCCUCAUCAUCAUAGUCAUAUAACAACUCCUCCUCAUCAUCAUCUAUGAGUCAUAUAACAACUCAUCAUUCUAACACAUUCUAGCACAUAACUCAUCAUCAUCAUAAUAACAACUCCUCCUCAUCAUCAUAGUCAUAAUUAACACUAACUAAUUGUUCUUACUACCUAGGACCUAACUAAUAGUAUAAAACAGGUAAACUGGUCCAUCUUCAAAAUGGAGAAUGAAGAUCCACCUGUCGCCAACUUGUGGCCUGCGCAUAUGCAUGUUGUCUCCAAUCGGUUGCAUGCGCACAUUCAUUAGUUUGCUCCAUUCUUUGAUAUUGAGCCUUGCAUCUUUCAAAGAAAUAGAGCAUGCACUUUGGUAAGCCAUCAGCGGAAACGAUCGUAUGCUAACCAUAUAUAUAUGACCUUCGGUAAGCAUCAUGUCAUGCACAACCUCCUUCGAGAGCUUCUGUUGAACAACAUAAUAGUAACAUAUGUAGUUAGCACUAUAGUUUACUUAAGAAGAAUGUAUGCAAUCAAGUUACUGUUAUUAACAAAAUCAUACCAAGUUUUUGACAAUGAAGUUACCAUUCUGCAACACGUGGACUAGUGGCACGUAUCCACUAAAAUUUGGGUUGAUAAAGUGAUUGGUCUUAAAAGUCUCAACAUCAUCUAUAAAUGAGACAAGAUACCCUUUCUCCUCACAAUUAAGCUCGUAGCCAUAGCUGUAGUAUGUCUUCUCUACAGCCUUCCGAGUAUUUCUUGAAGAUAAGAAAUAAGCUGACAAUUAUAAAUAAACAACUUUAGUAGGUAUGAACGCCAAAUAUUUUUAAAUAAACAAUAUAAAUUACUUAAUAAAUUUGUUUGACAAAACUGGAGGCAUAUCCACAUCCACCAAAAUGUCGAUAUUAUCUUCAAUAUCAUCUUCAGGACGAAUAUCGAAGGUUAUUUGCAUAUUCUCCUCAAAUCCAUAGGCAUUGCAGAGAGCUCCCCAAUUAGAGCAACUGAAAUGUGAGUGAUUAAGCGCAUUGUAGUGAUUAAUCCGAAAAGCAUAACCAUGUUUAGUUCUGAGGUGAGCUCUCAUCGUCUCCAUAUUCUCAAACUCUUGGAAACCAAGCUUCUUCAAGACAUACGGUCUUGCAUGGCAGGGGAUGCACUAGUCGAAUUGAAAGAAAAACGGAAAUUACACGUUGAAGCAAGGAAGCACAAGUCAUGAUUAAUUAUGAAGAAAUACUUAUUGUCGUUGCGUACCGUACAAACAUCGAAGGUCUCUUCCAGCUUGACGGUGAAGAACCUACCAUUUUGCAGGCGAGGCUCCCUGUCGCACAUACCCCGGCCAUCACAGCAGUGUUCGCACUCGGGGAUCCUAUCAUCGUCAGACAUUUCCUGUGUCCAAAAUUCAAAGAUUAUAAAUUGACAACAAUUACCAGGAACUGAACACACAGAUCACUAUUCACCACGGGUUGACUUUCUGUCUAUCGAGUCUUUCCUUGAAAACUCUCAUCUCACGUGGUGUAUAUGGUGGACACUCCCUCUCUAGUAUAUUCGACAGUCGGUGAUGGUCGUUCCUCCCUUCGUUUCCGAGUGUAUUACACCAAAAUGUCUAGCACACGGGAACGAAGAAGAAGCGAUCCCCACGACAAAAGUUGGGAUUCUUCCUCUCUGACAUUUUGCGACUGUCGGUGAUGGUCGCUCCUCCUUUCAUUCAAAAGUGCAUUACACCAAAAUGCCUAGCACUUUCGAAUGAAGAAGAAGCGACCCCCAAGACAACAGUCGGGAUUCUUCCUCUCUCAUAUUUCGACAGUAUAUGGUGGACACUCCCUCACAGAUAUUUUGACCGCUGGUGAUGGUUGCUUCCCCUCCUUCUCUCGUGCAUUACCAAGGUAUAUCACGAGAAGAAGGAAAGGAAACGACCCCCAUGAUAACAGUCAGCAUCCUUCCUUCAAGAGCAGACUGAAAGUCACACAAGGANNNNNNNNNNAUACCAAUGAAUUCAUAUUCAAAAAAAGUUUUUAAUUAUAUAAUUUUUGAUCCCGCCGCAGUCGGUCUCGUGGGUUAAAUUUAUGGUCAAAGUUGAACCUCGAAAAGCGUGGGCGCGCUAUAUUUUGGAACGGAGGGAGUAUUACUUAACGCUGGGGUUUAAGAAACCAACCCUUGUAAGCUUCCCUGCUACUGCUUGUCAUGAUCAAAACACAACAGAUGUUCUGUAUGUGAUCCAUGUCGUUUCAGAACCUUCAGAAUUUAUAAAUCUUCUCAUAGGGAUGUUCUAAUCUUCUCGUAGGGAUGUUCCCAUCUUCUCAUAGGAAUUACUAUUUAAUGAUGUUACUUCAGAAUGAACGCGUUGUGUUUCGACUAGCAAUGCUUGUGCUUUUCCAAGUGAGCUGCUUAGUCCAGUAUGAACACAUGACUAUCCUUCGAUAGUUUAGAUGGUUAAUCUACUGUGUUGUUUCAGUGAGUAUUAUGUUUGUAAAUCUGCAAUUGGGGCACCAACUCAUUGUUUUUUUUAAGCUGACANNNNNNNNNNUGUUUGUGACUGAACCUAGUUCUUAACUGAACCUACAUAACCGUAUCUUGAUGUUUCUCACUGAACCUAGUUAUUAACUGAAUUACUGAACCUAGUUAACUGAAUCUUGUUGCUUGUCACUUAACCUAGGUGUUAACUGAAUCUUGUUGUUUGUCACUGAACCUAGUUGUUAACUGAACCUACUUAACUGAAUAUUGCUGUUUGUCACUGGACCUAGUUGUUAAGUGAACCUACUUAACUGAAUCUUGUUGUUUGUCACUGAAUUUUCAUGCCUUGUUUAACUGAAUUUUAGGGUUUUCAAAUGGUCAAUUAUUCUAGACUUAGUUACCUCACUUAUUGAUAGAUGUUGCUGAAUUAUCCUUGUGUACUGAAUCCAACUGACACUAAAUGCCAGUACUGAAAUUUGCAGGGUAUUCUGUAGUGGGUACAUGAGUUGAAUUUGGUUUGAGUGAUGCAGUGGACAAGUUGACCACAGAAAGAGUGAGUGAAUGUACAUGGGUUUAAGUGUUUGACUAAUGUGAAGUGUCAGUUGGUGUGCUCAACUUAAUGUUCAAAUUGUGUUGAUUAAAGGCAGCAAGUGUACCUAACUAGGAGAGACCUUGCAAUAUUCAUACUUUAUUCAAUCAAACUAUUCAAGCAAGUGUACCUAACUAGGGCUCGGCACCAUCCUGUUUCUUAACUGGAUGGUUAAAAAGACCAUUGGCUUAUUCGUUUUGUUAGCGCGACAUCAGUUCGAGUAAUUUUGAAAUGUUGCCUUCCUUUGAUCCUUUUUGUCAUUUCGUCUGCUUGGUUGUACAAUCUGUGAUCGGUCUUGAAAUAAAUCGAGGAAAUCCUUGAAACCCCUGUUUUCCGGACCAGCAAGAACGAGUUGUCCAGUCAAAUUUCUGAAGCAGUAAGCACACAGUGUGUUCAUGUUAUGCCAAAUCAACACUGAAUUUCAUUCUGCCUGAAUUAGGCUCAGAGAAGUGUUAGUUCAUAUGCUAAACUGAGAUUUCCACCAUUCUUUUUAUCGCAGGUGCUUGGUAGCCAGAUCGAACACAGAUGGCGUACUGCUAAUUCAUUAACAUGAAUUUGUGCUAUUCCUUUGGAUUGAUGGAUAUUCUGUCAAAAUAAUUUACUUUUAGAUCUCUGUAUAGUACUGUACUGCCUAGGCUUAUCUGAACGUAUUCUUAUUAUUACUUAACGGUGGGUUAAGAAACCAACCCUUGUAAGCUUCCCUGCUACUACACUGCUCGUUUUCAAACCUUCAGAAUUUGUAAAUCCUCUCGUAGGGAUGUUCCAAUAUUCUCAUAGGAAUUACUAUUUAAUGAUGUUACUUAAGAAUUAACGUGUUGUGUUUCGACUAGCAAUGCUUGUG
Molecule: long non-coding RNA, 4771 nt
Filed under: Triticum aestivum (bread wheat)
Lineage: Eukaryota; Viridiplantae; Streptophyta; Magnoliopsida; Poales; Poaceae
Description: long non-coding RNA (TAES_LNC015214)
Source: RNAcentral